AAUGAACGCUGGCGGCAGGCCUAACACAUGCAAGUCGAACGGCGGCACAGUAAUUGCUUGCUCUUACGGGUGGCGAGUGGCGGACGGGUCAGGAAAAUAUCCGAACCUACUCUUUCGUGUGGGUUAACGUAGGGAAACUUACGCUAAUACCGCAUAUGAUGUACGAGUGAAAGCAUGGGAACUUCUCACCUUGUGCGAUUGUAUUAGCCGAUGCCGUAUUGGUUAGUUGGCGGGGUAAAUGCCCACCAAGGCGACGAUCGGUAGCCUGGCUGAGUGGAGGGUAAGCCACCCGGGAGCUGAGCCAGGGUCAAGACUCCUACGGGAGGCAGCAGUGGGGAAUAUUGGACAAAGGGCGGAAGCCUGAUCCAGUCAUACCGAGUGGGUGAAGAAGGCCUUCGGAUUGUAAAGCCCUUUUGUUGGUAAAGAACAGCAGCAGGUUAAUACCCCGCUGUUCUGACGGUACCAAAAGAAUAAGCACCGGCUAACUUCGUG
RNAcentral lists this ribosomal RNA (492 nucleotides) under uncultured bacterium. RNAcentral describes it as "partial 16S ribosomal RNA". It matches the Rfam family "Bacterial small subunit ribosomal RNA", at positions 29 to 507 of the family's 1533-position model. The record is from RNAcentral.